Molecule: long non-coding RNA, 492 nt
Organism: Columba livia (rock pigeon)
Lineage: Eukaryota; Metazoa; Chordata; Aves; Columbiformes; Columbidae
Exons: 4
Source: RefSeq, a predicted model, not a curated record
CUUAGGUGCAGGAUGGGCGAGCGACUGGAGCUGCAGACUAGGAGGGGAGGAAAAGACAGACAGACAGAAGUGCCUGAACUCCACAGCUUGCCUGGCAGUGCAGAGAGCAGGAACUGUGGAGUAUUGCUCUGUGAGCCUGGAAACCUCUCUGGUCUGUGCUUGACUCCAGGCCAUGGCACUGGCAGAGUUGAUGGAGCUUCUCAGCUGGAUCCUGGUUAUGAGCCUUGGGCUGUCCCAGAGGUGACUGAGGAAGAAGGAGAUCACAACAUGCCAUGGAAGCUCCUCCCCUGUGUUUGACUCCCUGUUUGGUUCCUGCAGUCCAUGGUGAUCAAGCCUCUUGGUGUAAUCCUGUUCCUGAGCCUGGGGGCAAUCCCAGGGGUGGAGGAUGGGCAAGCGGCUGGGGCUACAGAAGAGAAAGGGAGGACAGAAACACAGAGACAGAGUUGCCUGAACUCCACAACUUGCCUGGCAGUGCAGAGAGCGGGAACUGUG